Molecule: long non-coding RNA, 333 nt
Organism: Megalobrama amblycephala (Wuchang bream)
Lineage: Eukaryota; Metazoa; Chordata; Actinopteri; Cypriniformes; Xenocyprididae
Exons: 2
Source: RefSeq, a predicted model, not a curated record
CCUUGGGCACUGGGAGUUAGUAAUGUUGGUGGACUUGAACUUGAAAAAUGAUGUGUACUAAAGUCUUUCUUUGGUUGAAAUGUGGUUCAUUCAUGUUUAUUUGAUGAUAUAAAUGAACUAGUAAGAAGAGAUGAUCGGUUCAUGAGCCGCUACAGAGCCACAAAACGGUUAUAUCAAAUUCAUACACACAAGGACAAGAUUACGGACCCCCCAUUGCACUUGAGGCCUUGCACAGUCUCGGUGGAUGGUUCCAACAGUGAACGGGCUCGACUGAGUUAUUCAAGAUGGUCUUGCAGUUACAAGGGAGGUAAGAGAGCAAUACAUUUCCUUUGA